This 440-nucleotide ribosomal RNA is filed under the name uncultured bacterium. RNAcentral's name for it is "bacterial SSU rRNA". It matches the Rfam family "Bacterial small subunit ribosomal RNA", at positions 338 to 795 of the family's 1533-position model. The record is from RNAcentral.
CCUACGGGGGGCAGCAGUGGGGAAUAUUGCACAAUGGGGGAAACCCUGAUGCAGCAACGCCGCGUGCGCGAAGAAGGCCUUCGGGUCGUAAAGCUCUGUCCUAAGGGAAGAAGCAUGACGGUACCUUAGGAGGAAGCCCCGGCUAACUACGUGCCAGCAGCCGCGGUAAUACGUAGGGGGCGAGCGUUAUCCGGACUCACUGGGCGUAAAGGGUGCGUAGGCGGCCGAUUAAGCCAGGGGUGAAAGGCGACGGCUCCACCGUAGUAAGCGCUUGGAACUGAUUGGCUUGAGUGGAGGGGAGGAGAGUGGCAUUCCUAGUUCUGCGGUGUAACGCGUGGAUAGUAGGAGCAACGGCAGUGGCGAAGGCGACUCUCUGGACUUUAACUUGAGCUUGGGGAAGAAAACGUGGGGAGCAAACAGGAGUAGAUACCCUAGUAGUC